This 32524-nucleotide long non-coding RNA is filed under the name Carica papaya (papaya). Its description in RNAcentral is "long non-coding RNA (CPAP_LNC010531)". The record is from RNAcentral. Lineage: Eukaryota; Viridiplantae; Streptophyta; Magnoliopsida; Brassicales; Caricaceae.
UAAUGGGGUGUGUCUUUUUGACUAAUCAAGAUUUGAAGAGUUUUAAAAGAAGAAAAAAAUGGUUAGGUGAGAGAAGGUCAAGAAAAUUCAUCAAACACAUGCAGUUGAAAAAUAGCCAUGGACUCUUUUAUCUCUAAAAAUUAGCAAAAGAGAAAGUUCUGUGAACUUAUUGAAGUUAUUCUGGACACUUGCAGCCUUCUUACUUUUUACUGUUCAUCCCCCUCUCUUCUUUCUUCCCUUCAUUGUAACCAGAGAAUGGUUUUUCUAUAAAUAUUUUAUGAUAAUUAUCUUUAAUUAUUCGGAUUCAUUAUUAUUAUUUUUAAUUCUAAUUUGUUAUAAAUUACUAUAAUAAAUUAAAAUCAAUAAUAAUAAUAAUAAUUAAUAUAAUAAUAAAUAAUAACAAAAAUAUAAUCAUACCUCCAGAAAAGGGUGCUGUCAAUUUAUUUUUAAAUUCUUGUAAUCAUACUUUCUUAUAAUUAAUAAAAUGUAAUCUUUAAUUAAUUAAUUAAAAAGCUCUUAUUUUUUUAAAAUAAAUAUUUAAAAUUUACAUUUUAGUAAUUAUGAUCUAAAAAUGGGAAAAGAAAAAAUUAUGUGUAAAAUUUUAUAAGCUCGCAUUAAAUUAAGUUCAAUAUUUCUAUUUUUUAUUGUUGAAUUUUAAUUAUAAAUACAGUAUAAAUUAAUAGUAAUAAAUUGAUACAAAAUUAUUAGAUAAUAUAAUAUUUAUUUUAUCGAAAUUAUAAUAAUUCUAUCAUAAUAAAAUUUAAUUUAGUUAUUAUUAAAGUGUUAAAAAAUAUAUGACAGUCGAUUAAUAACAUGCUUAAAAUAGAACAAAUUUAUGUGAUUUAAAUGGAAUUUAAAUAUUCAUGACAUUAGUAUCUUACAAUACUUAUUAUAUGAUAUAAUAUGUGAAGUCAUAAAAACAUAUAUAUAUAUAUAUAUGUUGAAGAUAGAUUUGAGUAGUCUUCACAUGGAGGCUGAAACUGGUACAUGGCCAUCAACUUUGACAAAUUUGGACCACACCCUCGUAGGCCGAUAUAAAUACCAUAUUGUAUUAUUAAAUUACUAUGGUAUAUAAGACCUUAUAUUAUAAAAUCAAUCGUACAUGUGGAACACAUUAAUGAAGAUUAAUAAUUAAUUAAAAAUAAUAAUGACAAGAGGAGCAGUUAAUCAGUCAGUUUUAAAGAGCAGAUUUUGGAAGGUGACACGUCUCAUUAAAUAAUUGAUCAGCACAGGAAAGUCUUAGUGCUUUGGACGCUUUUUGGUCAACCUGGUAAACUCUAAAUUACACAUUACAUAAUUUUUAAUUAAGUAAUUAGGUUUUAAAAUAUUGUAAUUAUUGUAAUUAACCCUUUUUAUUUUUACUAUUAGGGUUAUUCAUAAUUAAACUUUAUGUUAUGAUUUCUUUAUUGAAAAUGAUGAAUUAGGUUAAACCAACUCCUUAUAAAAUAAGCUUCCAUGAAUUCAAUUAUUAUUAAUAUUUUAUUUCAUGGGGUUUUGUUCAUAUUAUUGUUAUUAUUAUAUUAUAUAUUAUAUUGGGUAAGUGUAAUUUUUCUUUUGGGGUAAAGAAUUAAUGGGUUGGAGAAAGUGUGUGACAGUUGUGUUUGUUUUGGAUUUAUUGUAUAUGCAUGAUAUAUUAUUAUUUUAACACCCAACAUUUCAUUAUUUUUAUUUUUAUUAAUUAUUAUUAUUUUUUAUAUAAAUAUAAUUAUUAUUUAUAUAAUUUUAAUUUGAUUUAAUAAAAAAAUAAUAUAAUAACGGUAAAAAUUGGUUAGAGAUUUAAUUGAAAACAAUUUUGAAGAAAUGAGUGAAAAUUUGGGUUCUGAGAGUAUUUUUGAAAGAAAAUCAGAAACAANNNNNNNNNNNNNNNNNNNNNNNNNNNNNNNNNNNNNNNNNNNNNNNNNNNNNNNNNNNNNNNNNNNNNNNNNNNNNNNNNNNNNNNNNNNNNNNNNNNNNNNNNNNNNNNNNNNNNNNNNNNNNNNNNNNNNNNNNNNNNNNNNNNNNNNNNNNNNNNNNNNNNNNNNNNNNNNNNNNNNNNNNNNNNNNNNNNNNNNNNNNNNNNNNNNNNNNNNNNNNNNNNNNNNNNNNNNNNNNNNNNNNNNNNNNNNNNNNNNNNNNNNNNNNNNNNNNNNNNNNNNNNNNNNNNNNNNNNNNNNNNNNNNNNNNNNNNNNNNNNNNNNNNNNNNNNNNNNNNNNNNNNNNNNNNNNNNNNNNNNNNNNNNNNNNNNNNNNNNNNNNNNNNNNNNNNNNNNNNNNNNNNNNNNNNNNNNNNNNNNNNNNNNNNNNNNNNNNNNNNNNNNNNNNNNNNNNNNNNNNNNNNNNNNNNNNNNNNNNNNNNNNNNNNNNNNNNNNNNNNNNNNNNNNNNNNNNNNNNNNNNNNNNNNNNNNNNNNNNNNNNNNNNNNNNNNNNNNNNNNNNNNNNNNNNNNNNNNNNNNNNNNNNNNNNNNNNNNNNNNNNNNNNNNNNNNNNNNNNNNNNNNNNNNNNNNNNCCCUAUUUCCUAUCAUAGAAUUGAAGUUUGAAUAAAUGAUAAUAUUGUCUUUUGUACAAAUUAAAUAGAUAUGCAUAAUUAAUUACGGAUUGCUAAUGGAGCCCGAACCAGACAUUAUUCUCUGUCGAUUCCUGUUUGAUUUAUUUUACAGUUUAAAUGCAUUAUGAUAUCUCUUUUAUCUAUUCUAUGGUUUUAAACCUAUGUAUCACUGCUUACUUCACUACCGUUUGAUUUUGAGAAUCUAAGAUAUGAUUGCAUUAUUGGAUGCACGUUACUUGUUUAUGUAUUUAUGUUUGAUUUGGUGACGGAGACUAAAGACAAACAGAAAUAGGAUGUGAUCUGAUAAAUGGAUAAGAUGACAGCCUCACUAGAUAUUUUGAGAGAUGGUGGACAGACCGGGUUCAUAUGGAACCCUACCGUGAAUGUUGUCUUAUACCGGAUGGGGUAUGGGGAUGGCCCGCUUCACCCUCAUACCAGAUAUGGUAUUGAGAUCUAAUGUCUUGGUGCUCAUACCGGACGGGGUAUGGGGACGACCCUGGAAUUAAGAUUGGUAAAGAAAGAGUUCACGUAUAGUGGGAAUACCCCUACGGAUCCCCAUGGAUACUAGUAAGCUGGUGAAACGAGAAACGGUGAUGAUUAGUUAUUGUUAAUGAAUAUGAAUUUAUAAUAUAUUCUAUGUUACUGAUUGUGCAUGAAGUUAUGAUCUGUAUUAUGUUAUUGUCUUUAUAUGUUGUUUUCACAGGUUCUCCAAGGGUAAGAAAAAAGAAAAAUGAUUUUAAUUUUAAUGAAUGUAUUGGUUUAAAAUUUGUGCUCCAUUUGUUGUUUUUGAUUUUUUACCAACCUUUGCUUCUGUGACGAUGAUAUAUUGUGAUAUCCUUACUGGGCUAGUGUAACUCACCAUUUAUUUAACCAUUUCAGAUCAAGAGGAUCUAGUUCCCGAGCUCGAUCCGCAAGAAGGCUACAAGUAGAUGCUAGAUACUUUAUAGUUUUCUUUAUUUUUCUAUUUUUUAUAUUUCUUUCAAAGAAUUUGUUCCGUGAUAUUUGUUAGUACUUUUGAGUUAUCGUGUAAGGGAUGUUAACCUUAACAUUUAUUUCGCUUCCGCACUCAAAUUAUUAUAUGCAUUUCUUUUUAAAUUUUCAGAGUCGUUACAAUUAUAAAGUGACUUAGUCUUACUUUCAAUAUACAUAUAUAAUCAAUAAUUGUAUUUGUUAUAUUCUCAUAAAGAUAUAUAUAUAUAUAUAUAUGUAUAUAUAUAGGAAUAAAAAAUUAAAAUGUUUGUUACUUGGUGGAAAUAUAACUUUUAUAUUUUGACUAUCUAACUUUAAUUUUUGUUGGUCGCAUUUUUUGAGUAAAGUUAGGGAUAAACUUACCCUAUUUGUACAAAAGUUAGUCAAUGAUACCUUGAUUGCUAAAAUUAAAAUAGAAAAAAUGGUUUUGUUUCUUUUCUAACUAUUUACAAAAUAACUAAGUAGCAUGUAUAUGUGUAUUUAAUUAAAAAAUAAUAGUUAGUUAGUCAAUCUAAUCUAAAUUUUAUUAUAAUUAUUAAAGUAGAGGUGUAUCUCUAUAAUUUUUGAACAUAGAUAGGGCAAACGUUUCUUUCUACGAGAAUGUGUCACAUCUAGAUUUCUCGACUCAUUUGGAGAUAGUUUUGGACUUAGUAUUUGAUAUCGUUUGUCAUCCUAUUUACCUUAAAAAGUAUGAUAUUAUAACAGUCUCCUAUAUAAAAGAAAUCUAUCUCGAUUAUUAGUUUGUGGAUAUCCCUAAUUGCAAUUCUUGAUCUUUAUAAAGCAUUAAACAUAUUUAUAUUAUUAGUCCAACUUGUGCAUAUUCGUCAUGUUGACUAUAAUACAAGAGCCACAUAUAAAGUCUCCUUUUUAUUGGUAAGAUUAUAUUUCUCUUAACCAUCAAUAAUGAAUUUAAUCUAUUCGAAUAGCGAAAACUCUUCAUCCCACCCAAGGGUAUCUACAUGAUUUCAAAUGAAAAAUAUUGGCCACGUUGACUAUAAUUGUAACACCCAAUAAUUGUUUUUAUUUUUAUUUUUAUUUUUUAUUUUUUUUAUAUUUAUUUAAUUUAUUUUAUUUUAAUUUAAUGAAAAAAGGGGUAAAAUUUUUGUUAAAGAUUAAAUUGAAAAUAAUUUUGAGAAAAAUGGGUGAAAAUUUAGGUUUUGGAGGUAUUUUUGAAAGAAAAAUCGAAAAUCGGGAGUUAAAAUGUAAUUUAGAAAAAUUGCACCACGUCAGAUGCCCAGUCAGCAGCCCCGACCAACUAGGAUGCGCUAGGUGCCAGAGGCUCUGACGCGGGAGGCCACGCGAAGGGGAGCCACGUGGGCGAUCUGCGUGUGCGCGAUCGAACGGCUGAGGUCCGUUCCUACGCGCACGGAUGGCCCAGAUUGAAAUUGCGCACGGACGACCCAGAUUGAAUCGCGCACAGAUGANNNNNNNNNNNNNNNNNNNNNNNNNNNNNNNNNNNNNNNNNNNNNNNNNNNNNNNNNNNNNNNNNNNNNNNNNNNNNNNNNNNAUCGCGAUCGGACGGUUCAGAUUAAAAGCGAUGGACUGCCCAAAUCAAAAGCGGAUGUGUAUAAAUAACUCUAUCGCACCCAAACCCAAACCUACCGCCAGAACCUCUCACCGGAGAAGACAGCCCAGCGGCCCAAGGAGCCAACCGCCACCGCACCAGAGCAAUUUAUGACCACCAAACGAGGUAAAAAUUUCAACAUUUACUCAGAAUUUAAUUUUAAACACAUCCAUAACCAAAUUGGAGCAAAAAGACCGACCGAUUGGUCGAAAAAUGUCGAAAAAACCCGACAGCGCCGCCGCCGGGUAUUUUGAAAAACGCCUCCAAUGAGGCCCUUCUCGAUUCCUGUUUGAUGUAAUUUUUUCACCGUUAUGAUCUCCGUUUCUUUCUCUACAAGUUGACUGGAGCAAAACACCAAACCGCAAUGUGAGCCAGAGGAGCCGCCGCACCGGAGAACCCCGCCAUCGAUGAGUUUCAAGUUUCUACAGUUUUUUGACCAAUCGAGGGCCCUAAGUGUAUUUUCUCGCAGGAACUUAUGCAAAUUUGGCUGAAUUCGAUCUAAAAAGAUCAAAAACAGCCAACCCGAGGAAGAUCGCCAUCGCCGGAGCAUGGCGGAGCCGCCGUGCCGGAUUUUUAAAAUUGGCCGAGUAGGCCCCGAAACUGAUUUUUGUGUUAUUUGAGACAUUUGUAGGUACUGUAAGUGCAUUUCAGUUUCUGAAGAAAAAUUCAGAACCGUCCAUAAGCGCAGUAAACCAUUUAGUUUUUCGGCAUCAAAUCAAGUAAGGACCCUUCACCCUAUUUCCUAUCAUGGAAUUGAAGUUUGAAUAAAUGAUAAUACGGUAUUUUGUAUAAAUUAAAUAGAUGUGCAUAAUUAAUUACGGAUUGCUAAUAGAGACCGAACCUAACAUUAUUUUCUGUUGAUUGAUUUUGUAGUAUAAAAGCAUGAUGAUUUCUGGUUUAUCUAUUUUAUGGUUUAAAUACAUGUAUUACUGUCUUACCUGACAACUGUUUGAUUUUGGGAUAUAAGAUAUGAUUGCAUUACCGAAUGCAUGUUUAUUUGUUUAUGUAAUUAUGUUUGAUUUGGUAACGGAGACUAAGGGAAAACAAUAAAUGAGUGUGAUCUAAUAAACAGAUAAGAUGACGGUCUCACUAGAUAUCCUGAGAGGUGGACGGACAGGGUUCAUGAGGAGCCCUACCGUGAACAUUGUCUCAUACUGGAUGUGGUAUGAAGACUUGGUCAUUUGGCGCUUAUACCGAACGAGGUAUAGAGACGGCCCACUUCACCCUCAUACCGGACGGGGUAUUGAAGUUUAAUAUCUUGGCACUCAUACCGGACGAGGUAUGAAAAUGGCUCUGUAAUUAAGAUUAUUAAGGAAAAGGGUUCACGUGUAGCAGAGACACCCCUAUGGAUCCCCAUGGAUACUAGUAGGCUGGUGAAAUGAGAGAUUGUUAUAAUUUAGUUUAUUGUUAAUGAAUGUAAAUUUGUGAUAUGUUCUAUGUUGCUGAUCAUGCAUGAAGUUGUGAUCUGUAUGAUAUUAUUGCUUCUAUAAUUUGUUUUCAUAAAUUCUCCAAUGAUAAGUGAAGGGAAGAUAGUUUUAUUUAUGAUAAACGAAUUUAUUUAAAUUUAGUGCUCCACUAGUUGUUUUAAUUUUCUACCAACCCUUACUUCUAUGCCGGUGAUAUAGUUUGAUGUUUAUACUGGGCUAGUGUAGCUCAUCCUUUAUUUAACCAUUUCAGAUCAAGAGAACCUGGUUCCCGAGCUCGAUCUGCAAGAAGAUUGCGAGUAGAUGCUAGAUACUUUAUAUUUUCUUUUACUUUUCUCAUUUCUCGUGUUUCUUUCAGAGAAUUCAUUCUGCGAUGUUUAUUUAGUAUUUUUAAAUUAUUGUGUAAGAGAUGUAAACCUUAACCUUUUAUUUCGUUUCCGUACUUAAAUUGUUAUAUAUUUUCUUUUGGAUUUCCGAGAUUGUUACAAUAAUAUAAGAGCCACAUAUAAAGUCUCCUUUUUAUUGGUAAGAUUAUAUUUCUCCUAACCAUCAAUAACGAAUUUAAUCUAUUCGAAUAGCGAAAACUCUUCAUCCCACCCAAGGGUAUCUACAUGAUUUCAGAUAUAAAAUAUGUAGAUAAAACACAUAUGGACCUUUUAGAAUUCCAGAGUUUUUCAUAAUAUCAAUAUUGCAAACAGAUACUUGAUUGUCCAUAUUUCUAUGUACAGACUCCUUUUUUCUUUAAAAGAUCCAUGCACUGGUCGGGAAAAUGACUUUCUAACUAGCAAUCCCAUAAAUACUUACUUUAAUAUUUAAAUUCUAAUUCAUCUACCUGUUAAUAAAAAUAAAAAAACUUAUUAAUAGAUUUAACAUCAAUAAGGUUAACUCAAAUCCAUUUUAAGAUAAAGACAAUCUUUAAGUAUAUGGAUGAUGCUUUCACUUCUCUCCAUGUACCUCGGACAUUUGUUCACUAUUGCUUAUAUCUCUUUUUUUUUAGAUAACAGAUAUUUGAAGAUAAGAAAUCACAUAAAAUAAGAAUAUUUUAUAGGACUUGAAACUUAAAGAGUUUUCAAAUAUUAAAUGCGAAUUAUAUACUAGUUUACUAUAGAGAUAAAUUAUUUUUUAUUUGUAUCAUUCUUCCAAUACACGGACAAUUUUUUAAUUCUUUUUUUAAGUUAUAUAUAAAUUAUUGAGCUUAAGUUCGAUUGUAUGAUUUUAUUCUCAAAAACAAAAAAAAAUUAAUGAUUAUUUUUAAUAAAAUGAACAUUGAAUCUCAAAAGCAUUCAAUUUUUAUACUUUUUCCAGUUUGGAAUAAGAAUAGCUAUUAAUAAAUAUCUUUUCUUUAUCCCCAAAAAGAUUAGAUCUAAUAAUCAUUUAACUUAUCUCACAACUAUAAUUAUUAUUCUAGUGUUAUAAUUAAGUUACUGUGCUAUUAAAAAAUUAGACAAAAAAAUUAUAGGUUCAUAAAUAAUUUAUAAACAAAGUCUUCAAAUCUCAUUCUGAAUCUUACUUUAAAUGUUAGUCAUUAUGCAUAUAAUUACAAUGUAAUAUUUUAUUUUUAGAAAAAAAUUACAGAAAUCAUCCUCAAAUUUAUGAAAUACACAGGCAACUCUAUAACUUAAAUUCUUAAACAGUAUUAUACAUUAAUACUUACUAACAGACUAACCACUUAGAAUUGAAAUCACAAUCUUGUAUUUUACUCUCAAACAAUCAUCGAUGCAAUUAAAAUCACGAAAUAUUUGACAUUUUAUCAAACAGUUUCUGAGUACACUCAGUUAAACUUUUGAUUAUAGUAUACAGGCGGCCAGAAGAGUUACAAACACAUAAUAACACAAGAAAGCAUUUGUCAAAGAGGAAGACAACACAGACACCCAUGUCCAAAUUCCAGACUUAAGGUCUCUGUCUCUCUGGCAUUUUAUUGAACAAUCUCCGAAGCAAACUCGGACCAUCCAUACAAGAAUAUCAGUUAGCUUAGUUUAUACCAUACAAAAAAUUAUAAUUCAAAGCAUAUCAUAGCCAAUUAGUUUUAGUUAGUGUAGCAUAAAACCUAGAAAACAUAUUCAUAAAAAUGUAUGUGCUUUAAAUAGUACAAUCAUUAUCUGCCUUCAAGAACUGUAAUAGUAAUUUUGUUAGUAGAAUUCAUAGGAGAAGAGUUUGUGUUAUUCAAGAUUUGCCUUUCAGUGAAUGCUGGCUGUUUCGGAUUAGGAAGAUCAACAAUCUCGCUCUUGAGCAUCGAGAUAACAGUCGAUACACUUGGCCGAUCUUUCGCAAAUUCUUGCACACACAACAAUCCCACAUGUACGCAUCUCAGCAUUUCUUCCUUAAACCUUGGUUCGAACAUGACUGCAUCGAUGAAUUCUACAAUGUUUUCCUCUUUCCACAAUUUCCAUGCCUGAAAAGUGAAAAUUGUAAGCAUUUGUUGACCUUGAAAUAUAGAGCCUUAUGUAAGUUUUGAAUUAGAUAGACUUACAUAACUCAGAAGAUUAAGAAACUGUUUAUCACUAUAGAAACUUGAGUUUCUCCUUCCACUUAUAAUCUCUAACAGUAAAACUCCAAAGCUAAAUACAUCUGAUUUCUCGGAGAACUGACCUUCCAUUGCAUAUUCGGGUGACAUAUAACCACUGCAGUUAAGAAAAUCUAUAUAUCUUGAGCUCAACUAUGUUGGAUUAUAAUUCUUACAAUGUUAAAAAGCUACUUACUAUGUUCCAACAACUCUUCUUGUAUUAGCUUGAUCUUCUUUGCCUCCAAAAAUCCUUGCCAUUCCGAAGUCUGAAAUUUUUGGGUUUAGUUCCUCAUCCAACAAGAUGUUACUUGCCUUUAAAUCUCGAUGAAUAAUUCGUAAUCUUGAGUCUCUGUGUAGGUAAAGGAGACCUCGACCAAUUCCUUCGAUAAUAUUAAGGCGCUUUCUCCAAUUUAAACCUUUUCUCUCAGUUGGAUCUAGAUCAAGUUUAUGUGAAAAAAGAUUACAGAAAAGAGGUGAUCAGUAGUUGUUCUGUAAAGUAAAAAGAAAAUGGUGCUUGAUGUUCAAGUGACCAUAGAAUAAGUUCCGAUUUAAUUUAUUUAUCACUGAUGUUGAUAAAAACUAUAUUGAUCGGUACAACUAACCAAAGAGAAUUGCAUCCAAACUUCGGUUUGGCAUGUACUCGUAGACUAAAUCUUUUCUUCGCCUUCAACACAGCAGCCAAAAAGUCUAACAAGAUUUCGAUGUUGAAGUUUAGAAAUCACUACAACUUCGUUCAUAAUUCUUCGAGUCCUUGUCCAGAAUUACUCGAAAGUCUCUUCACUGCUACUUCUUGCCCAUCUUGCAGCUUUCCCUGGAAAGAAAAUCCGAGCCAAGAACACUAUGAGUACUAAAUAGUAUGACAUUAUAAUCCAACAACAAUUUGAGUUUUAACUAACCUUGUAUACUGGACCAAAACCACCCUGCCCAAGCUUGUUGGAUGGACUAAAGUAGUUUGUUGCUGCUGCUAGUAUCUCAAAAUUGAACAAUGGCAGCUCCUGAACUCUGAUUUGAUUCUUAUUAUACCCGAGCGAAUCAAUACUCAAAAGUUUUGAUCUUCCCCCUAUAAUUAACAAAUAACAUUUCUUCAUUUCUUCCAUUUGAACAGUAAGAGUGAACAGUCUAUCUUCAAACUAAACUGAUAGAGAUGCUGCAAAAUUUACCUCUAUGUUUAACCAUCCAUCUCCAUAAGAAAAAUGUGCAGAUGGAAAUGGCUACUGUUCCCAAUAUGGCUGCAGUAAUGAUAAGAGCUCCAUAAUCCUCCUUUUUGUCUGGAAAUCAAAAGAAAAACAAAUAAAAAGAUAAGGUUUUUGGGUCUGACUUGGAAAUAGUGGGUGAUAAGAUGAUCAUGGUUUCCAUGAUAUGCUGCUUAGCUAUUUGGAAAAAUCUGAACUUUAGCCGAUGGUAUGUGGAAAUGGUGGAGAGACUUUUCGGUGAUGUUUAAGGAAGAAGCUGCAGCCAUAUUAAGCUGAUAACUGAGGCUUAAAGUUGCAUAGAAAAGGCAAAAACACAAAACAGCUAAGUGAACUACCUAGUUCUGAAUGGUGGAGACGAAUGUGAAGGUCUAUGCCAUCUGAUAAGAGAAUCUGUAUAUCAAUUAAGGCUCCUGUCCAUAACAUACACCCGAUGCCACUAUCAUAUGCAUAAGCUACACAGGAACAAUUACUCAAACAAUGGUCUUUACACUCAUCCUCGAGCCUGAAAGACCAUUGUACAAAGUCUGGAACUUUAACAUUUUCCAGCUUCUCAAACCCAUCUUCUUGGCUUGCUUUCCCACCAUUGUUCCUAUUGCACUGCAAGCUUUUCUUCCUAACACAACCACCUGUCCAGUUUCCUCUCUUCCACUCCUCUGGAUUCUUCGGUUCAAACCCUUUCAAGCAGCUGCAGAUUCUUUCUUUGUCACAGUAUCCAAAUUCUCCACACUUUCCAUAAAGUUCACAUUCAGUCCUUGGAGCCAUCCAGACCUGCUCCCAGUUAUUUUUCCCCUCUUCCCAAAAUGUUUGUACCAAAUUUCCCUCUGAGCUCAACACAAAGUUAGUUACCAAAGACGUAUUCGAAAAAGUAUAUGAUAAGUAAAAAGUCCCUUCUUCAUCCACCAGUUUAAACCCAUUUCCGUAACUAGAACUCAUUUCAGGUACCCCGGUAAAUAUCUGGCCAUUCCAUGGACCACUUCGCCAAAAUGGGCGAGACCCAUUCCAAACGAAAAACUCAGGAGCACUAACAACAUUUAUCCCAGCAGAAAACAUUCCAUCAGAUGGAUCAGAAUGACUUUUCCAUGAUGCAAUCUUCAUUUUCUCCCCGGUUCUCGGAUUAGUACUAAGCUUCAUCAUUGAUGUGGCUGUGUUCGAUGGAUGCUGGAAGCUCUCCCACAAGGUAAUUCCACUUGAAUCAUCUUUGAGGACAAGGUUUCCAGUAUCCAAAAGCUGAGCACUAGAAUUCUUCACCGGAUUGGAAAUAUUUGAUGACCAAAGAAUCUCAUUCUUCCCAUUCAGAAUGACAAGAUUUCCAUCUUCUGAUAUCUUCAUACUCCCGGAGGAAUCUUGAAGAGGCUUAUUUCGGUUAGCUACCCAGAUGACAGUCCUUCCAGGAAGAUCGUUAUACCAUAUUCCCGCAUACCGACAGGUCGAAUUAUCAGGACUGAAGAAUCCAAGUCUGAAAGAUCCUUGACUGGAGAUUAUAGAUUCAGUGUCACUGAUGAAUUGAAUUGGUGUAAUGGUGUCAAAAGCAACACAGAAUUUUAUAAGAACACAAUCUAACAAGCCGGAUAGAAGGAAUGAAAUCAAGCUGCUUCUGGCAUUCAUGAUCAGUUAAUUGCUUGGUCUCUGGUAAGGGAUUGACCUUGGGAAUGAAGGCGGCUUGAUAUGGGAGUUGUAGUUGACUUGACUUCUACAGUUGUGACAUAAUUAAUUAACAUUAAUAAAUCACUAAUACAAGACUAAAGUUAAAUGAUCUUCCAACAAAAAAGAUAGAUGUUUGAAUGUAGCAUACACAAAUUAUAAUAUUUCAAAGUCAUGCCAGUUAAUUGCUAUUAUAUUUUUGAAGAACGAGAGUGUUUUUGAAUUUUAAUUUAUAUAUAUUUUUAAUUAAUAAUACACACGAUACAAUAAAAUAUAAUUUUCAUAUAAAAUUUUAUAAAAAUACAACUCUGAUUAUAGUCAUAAUGAUGCAGAAUUCAAUCAUAUAUAACAAUGUUAAAUAUUUUCGUUCUCAUUCGUUUCCAGUAUCAUUUUGUUGCUAUCCUUCUGUCUCUCUCGCUCUCCAUGCUUAUUGCAGUAACUCAAAUUUGGAGUUGUUAGAAGAUUUUUUUUUUUUUUUCUCGUAGAAGUUGAUUUUGUUUCUUUUCCGGUUUGCUCUAUCUUAUUGAGUGAUUGAGUUUAUGAUAUGAAGAAUAAUCUAUUAGAGGAUAUAAAUGAGUUUUUAAGUUGAAAUUUAGGGUUAUUACUUGUUCCAAUUUAAAGUCUGAAGUUAAUUGAUCUUCUCUAAACAAUUCUUGGUUUGUGCGGCAAUAAUCCAUCUUUGAUUACCUAGCUAAGUUAAUCAGGAGAUGGAUAACGUUGCGCGUUUUUGGCUGUAAAUAGGAAUCUCGAUUUGGUGUCAUUUCUAUAUGAAGGUUGGGAAUAAAAAUGGGAUGUCUGUGGGUUUGGUAUGCACUCCCGCGCUUAAGGAAGUCCUCUACGAACGGAAGGUAAAUUAGAAGAAACAAAGCUGCUCGCAAAUGGUUCCUUCUAGUGGCAUCAGGUUCCUUCACUGGAUGGCUUGUCACGCUUUCUCUUUGCGUCUUAUUGAAGAUUCCAGAAAUUUAGUAAUGUUCUUUCUUUUUCUUCUACACACACACACACACACACACAUUUAUAUGGGGUUUAGGCGCUUGUUUAAUAUUUUUGUUGUACAAUUGUAUUUACUUGGUUUUUUUUUCUUGUUGUUCACUUGAGUUCAGCUAUAUAGAGCAGUAACUGGAAGGAGCUUGCGGGGAUUUAGCACUGGGUUUUGCAGCAGCUCGCGCAGAGUUUCUGGGAGUUACGAACCAAAAAAUGGUGAAGUUAUUUAUGAUUCCUAGUUGUGGUUCCCAUUUUCUUUUGUCUUUUUGGCUUGAGAAAAUGAAGAAAAAGGAAAGAGUAUUAUAAUUAACUUUUCUGUUCUAUUGUUGGUGAAGUGGAUUUUUAAAAUUGAAAAUUUAUCUGAUUGUUUAAUCUGUCUGCAUUUGAUACUACUAGCAUAGGAUAAACUUUCUUUAGUUUUGUGUUGAAAUGCAGCUAACCAUAGAAACUGGCUACCCUUAUGGUUUUUUAGUGCAAAUUCGGGUGUGACAAGGUCAAUUCACUGUACUGGUAUUUCUCAUGUUCUUUUCCAACUUCUUGUUUCUUCAACUAAGUUCCCUUGUUAUCAUAUGUUUUAACCAUUUGUUUCAGCUUUCGCGUUGGCAAGGGAUUAUUAUGAUAUACUUGGGGUUAGCAAAAAUGCCAGUGAAGGUGAAAUCAAGAAGGCCUAUUAUGGGGUGAGUUUAUUACAGCAUUUCCUUUUAUCUCAACACAUACCUUGUAUCUGUGGAAAUGCUUCGUUAUAACCAGUGUCCCAGUUUGUGUUGAUGUAUUCAGCUAGGAUUCUCUUUUAUCUUUUUUUCUGCCUCUACUGCUUUUUGUUUCCUGAUUUUCUUUUCUAUAUUUUUCUGCAGCUCGCAAAACAACUUCAUCCGGAUAUGAAUAAAAAUGAUCCUGAAGCUGAGAAGAAGUUUCAAGAAGUCUCAAAGGCAUAUGAGGUGAUACUUUUUUUUUUGAAAUAGUCAUAUGUGGUGAUACAGCAGUUUGUGUUUGAUAAUUUCUUUUGUUCUUUUAGAGAACAAGAGAGAAACAAAAAAAAAGAAAAUAGAUUUGUUAGGAUCAAAAGAAUUUUUUCACAUUGCCAAUUUAAUCUACAAUUAAAAUUUUGUAUAAAUCAUCAGAAACUUUCGAUCAGAAAAUUGUUACAAACUUGCAUUAAAAUCAUUAUGCACAAAAGUUUUCAAUUAAAAUAGCACACUCCUAGUGUGGGUUUAUCUAAAUGUGUUUAUAAGCUUGUUCUAUGAUUUAUUUACUCUGUGUUGAAGGAUUUUUGCUUCUUGUCCUGUAGGUCUUGAAGGAUAAGGAGAAGCGUGAACUUUAUGAUCAGGUAUGACAAAUAGUUUACUUUAAGUCAACCAAGUCAACCAAAUCUUGCAUAAUGGUCUAUCUAUUGGUUUCAAAUCUGUUAGGCCCAUUUCAAAUCAAUUUAAGGUCUUUAGUUUAACUUUACGAGAAAACUACGAACUGUACUUUCUGUGUUUAGCAAGUUUUUGGAGGCUCAAAAGCUAUAUCUAGUUGCUUUUAUCUCUGUUCCUAUCGGUUGUAUUUUAUUAUAUAAUAUAAAGUCAUAGGAAUUAGCAAAAUAUAUAAUCUAUGGGUGGGUUGACGUCAAGGCCAUGCAUCUCUUGUUUGUGAUCUAUACUUAUGCAUGCUCCCUUUAAUUCUCUAUCUAUUAGUCAUAUGGUGGAGAAGACCUACUUUUAUCUUUUCUUUGUUUAGUUGUUUCUCUUUCCCUUGUUUGUUCGUUGAUGUAAUUUCCAUAUCAGUUGUGUUGAAAUUUGGUUUUGUUCACAAUCUUACAGGUUGGCCAUGAAACAUUUGAACAGAAUGCCGGCAGUGGCUUCCCUAAUGACUCAGGAUUUGGUGCUGGAUUUAAUCCAUUUGAUAUCUUCAGUAAUCUAAAUAAUGAUGUAAUAGCUUCUUCUUUAGCAUCGUAUUGCGGAUCUUAUUUUAUGUUAUUAUGCUAUGGUUUAUCUUUUCUUCUGUGCUUUAUUGGUCAUUUAUUUGUGGGAAAAAAAUGAUAGGAAAAAUCAUGCUAGAAGAUGUAUGUUAAGUCAAUAUGUUAAGUCAUGCAAAACUUCUUCAGUUGCUCUAAGAUUCGAAAGCUUGAAGUUGUUCUAAAAAAAGUUCAGUAUAGCAAGGAAAAAUGAUUUGUUGAAAAUGUGUCAGAAGUUUGUUUACUAAUAGAAGAUACCGAGAAUUGCUGAGUUCAUGGUAUAGUUAGUUGUAAUGCCUUUGAGCUGAGGCAAAAAUGCAUGAUUUUUUCCCUUUUCUUUCCUGUAAAUGAAAGGUUAACAAACAAUAGAAGUUAGUUAGUAUGCUUAUUGCUUCUCCUUUCAAAAAAAACUAUCAGCUAUACUUUCCUCUGGAAUUAUUAGAACCACACAGAUACAGAUGCAGCCUCUUCUUUAAACACCUCUUGUCCCCAAACCGUAGGAGAAAGAAAAAACUUCUUUAUGAUGGAAAAGUUGGGAGAUAAACUAAGAGUGAUUUAUCAAGAACAGAGUUCUCGUUUGAUAACAAUCCACAGGGGGCAUGGAAUCUAAUCGGAGACAAAGUCAAUAUCUAUUCGUAUUUCUCCUUUCGUGGUCAUGUCAUUUUUUCCGCUUUUUAUAAAGAACACUGGAAUGUUGUCCGUUUGGAGACGGAGGUGCAGAGAUGGUAAGAAAUCUUUUUUUCUUCCCUUCUUGUGUAAGAGCUCUUAACAUAUCACAAUGUGACAGACAUAUCUUAUUGUGAUUUUCUUGAUAGAAAAUUAUGAGUUGCUCUAGUGCUGCUUUUGCAUCUUGUUUUCUGCACUGGAGUCUAGUUUGACAACAAUACUCUCAAUUUAAUAGGAUGCAUGGGCCAUUUAUGCUUUUGGGAACGUUAAUCUUGUUUUGAAGUCUAAUGAGUUGCUUUCCUGUCCAUGAUGUUGCUCAGAUCUUCAAUAUGUUCAGGCGUGAUAUUGGCGGCCAGGAUGUAAAGGUCAUCAUCAAUUUCUUACCAUCUGUACGUUCUUUUAGUUUAGAGAUGAUUUUACCUCUAUUUUUUUGGUUAUGUAGGUUUUGAUUGAGUUAUCGUUCAUGGAAGCUGUUCAAGGAUGCAACAAAACUAUUUCAUUUCAAACAGAGGUGCCUUGUCAAGCUUGUGGUAAGGAUGUUAUUUUAAUGGUAGAACCUUUUAGGCUUUUCUUUCCAUCUUCUUUACCAAUUUUAAUAUUAAAUUGAUGGGGUUGAACUUGUUCUGGUAUAUGACUAAAUGAUCUUUUAUUUUUAGAACUUUAAUGUGUUUAUUGUUCUUUCUUUUCUGCAGGCGGGCAGGGGAUCCCACCUGGUGCCAAACGCGAGCAAUGCUGGAACUGCAAUGGCCUUGGGAUGGUCAGUAUUCUUGUUUAUGUUUGUACUAAUAUAAUUAUAACAAUACGCACAUGCUGAAACAUGCGCAGUUUUGUGUGUGUGUGUGUGUGUGUGUGUUGUAGAAAUUAAAUAGGAUAGUAUGCUCGGCUUCUCUUUGGGUUGCUAUUUUGUCAUGCUGCAAGAGUAUUGGGUUACAUAGUAUUGAAUCAAUAAAUCCAGAUAUGCUUCUCGUCUAUUUAGUUUUUUCUUCUUUCGGAUGAGAAACAACUAUUUAUUGAAAAAGAAAAAAUUAGUUACAUAGUAUUAGCUAACAAAAGAUUUAACUCUUUGGAAUAAUAUAUUAAACUCUUUUAUAUAUUAUUAUUUGUUAUCACCUUAGACUGCCACUUGUAAUCAUUCUCUUUAGAGGCUUUCUUUUCUCUAGUUACUUAGUGUUGAUUAGUAAAGACAUGACUCUUUCUGAUAAUACAUGCAAAAAAAAUUAUCUUUUAAAUACUGUUAUUAUUUGUUAUCGUCUUAAAAUGCACUUAUCAUCAUUUUAUUUACAGGUAUUUUUUUCUCUACAUGGAUGUAGAUAUGUUUCUUUUUCUACCAAUGUACGCAUAUGCACAAAUUGGCUUAUUAUUGAACUGUGCAAAUAAUUUGUACUCAUUAUCAUAUGUUGCAGACAACCAUGAAAAGAGGCAUGUUUAGUUUUCAGAGCACGUGUCAUAAGUGCGGUGGAACUGGUCAAGUUGUAUCAGUAUGUUAUGCAUCUAAAUUUCUGCCUAUUAUCAGCUUAUCGCAUCAACAUUCAUUUUUUUCUCAAGCUUAGAGUAUGACCUUAAUUAGUGCCUUUGUCAACUAUUUUUUUCUUUCCUUCUCCUUUCCUUUCUAUCUCUCUCUCGUAUAUUUUCCGCCACAGAAUCUAUUAUCAUUUGGUGGAUAGUAUUCAUUAUUUGUCUUGUUGGUUGGAGACACGUUGCUGUCUCUUGUGCUUGUAGCUUUUGUAUUUACAGCCUUUCUAUUGUGUGUCUAAGGUGUUCCGUUCUCUAAUUAAACCCAAUGGGAAAUGAAAAUGCAUUUCUAGAGAUUUUAAGAACUUUAGUAAGAAAUAUAUUAUGAUUAUUGUAUUAAUGCUAUAGAUGAUAAAGUUUUUGCAUAUAGGGCCAGCCACCUGUUUUGCAUGCAUGUUCAUUCACACGCAUGCACUUAUUGCUUCAUCUUUUUCCAUGAGAAAAAAAUAGAAUGUUUGAACUGUUUUGGGGAUAAGUUCAGAAACGUGAUUCUGGUCAGUAGUUAUAAACCUUUCUGUUAUUUUCUAAUGCUGAAGAAAUGCUUCUGUCUUUUGGUGAGUAAUUAGAAAAGCUGCAGUUUGGAAGUCACUGGUCUUACAUUUUGGCACUUUAUUUUAUUUUUUAUUGCCUUGAUUUAAGUACAAGUCAAGUUUUGCAGAGCAUUCUCCUCUUUUUACCUCUUAUCUUACACCCUUUUCAUUUUAGAUGAAAGAACUUGGAGUUAUUGUGUGAUGGUGCAAUUGUAUAGUUUACUCACAAAGAAGCUUCCCUCUCCUUUAACAGUGAUAGUGGUUGCCUCCUUAUUCAGCUGCUUACUUCUAGGCCUGAAGAGCGUUUGGAGCUGUAUUUAUCAUGUUUGUGAGACAUGAUUCUGGACAGAUGUUUGCAAGUUUCUUAGCUUCAUAUUCCAGAUUAGAACUUUAGGACUGAAAUCAGACAUAUGUAUUGUGAAACUUAAGAUGCCCUUCCUGAAAUUUUUUUGCAUAGGUAGCCAUGAAUAUUAUCUAGUCAGUGAUGUUUGUUUCAAACUCUGUUUUUUUUUUGGGAUCAGAGCAUCUGCAUGUCGUGCAAGGGAGCUAAAGUAGUGAGAGGACAGAAGUCAGUUAAACUGGAUAUCAAACCAGGUUUGGUGAUUGCACAUUUUAUCUUUGUGUAUGUUAUCACAUUUGAUUAUGCUAUGCCGUGACCUCAUCUUGUUGCCCACCUGUCACAUGUCCAUGUCCAGUGCUCGUUUUCUUUUUGGUCUCAUUUUGUUUCUAUUUCUCUGUCCAUGCUGUUUGUCACUCUACCGAUUUUCAGUCUUUUAGGAAUUGCUUCAUGCUGUCUUGUUUUCAUGGUUAUUGCCAUGCUACCAUUUUAAAUAGUCAUUUGUCAUCCUAAAUGAUUUAUUUCAAAAAAAAAAAAUUUGUCUUCCUAAAUGAUCCACUGCAUCCUUUGAAGUGCUUUUAUUUAGGGGAUGGUUUAUUCGAACUAAUCCAUUGGAGUAGAAAUCUCUAGAAAAAGCUUCUUUAUUUUUUCCUUUUAUCCAUUAGUACGAACUGUUGUUAUUAGAAGGUAAUUUUGAAACUAGAGCCACUUGUAUUUAGUUCAUCAGACUGAGCUAUAUCUCAUCGUCAGGAAUUGAUAACAAUGAUACAAUAAAGGUUAAUAGAUCUGGUGGAGCAGAUCCUGGUGGAAGUCAACCUGGUGACCUAUAUAUUACCAUCAAGGUUACUUGAUUAUGUAUAUGUAUUGAUACAGCCCCUUUAUUUUUCAUAUUCCUUUGAAAUCAUUUUCAAAAUUUGAAACUUAAUAUUUACUGUUGAAGGUCCGUGAAGAUCCCAUCUUCCGUAGAGAAGGUGCUGACGUCCAUGUAGAUACUGUUUUGGGUUUCACUCAGGUAACCUAAUCUUUGUAUGAUUAUUAUGGCUCAAGAAAGACAUUGUGUCAGAUUUGCAUAUCUUUGAUCAGUUGCGUGUAAUCCGGGAUUUAUAACUCUUCCCCAAAUGUUUUGUUUUGUUACCUUAAAUAAAAGAAAAUUAUUUUUAUCUGGUUAUUCUUUGUAUCUUUUUAAUUAGAGAUAUUGGUUCCAUUUGUUAUAUCAAAAUAUUUUGUAACUUUCAUUUUAUAAGCAUAUGUUUAUAGAUAAAAACAUCCAUUGUAGAACGUGCAUGUAUGGCAACAUAUUUCUCGAGAACACUAAAAAUAUUUUUUUAUUGUUUUCAAAAUUGUCAAGUUUUUAUUUUUAUUUCCAAUUAGUAUUUUCAUUUUCCACGAUUACACAUGGUUUAAUUUUAAGCAUAUACGGGAAUAGCUGUUAAGAAGGCAUGAAUGGUUAUAGAAAAUGAAAACUGAACAACAGUUUUUCAUAUCAAAGGAAGCCGUCCUAUCUUGUUCCUAUAAUCUUUGCAUCUGCACGUUGACUUCAAUAUGAUUGAUUAUAGCAAUGGUCAAUAUUCUUUACUGGAACUAAUGGACACAUAUGUUCCCUGUGCAGGCAAUUCUGGGUGGAACUGUCCAAGUUCCGACUCUCACUGGUGAUGUUGUAGUAAAGGUUUUCUAUAAAUUUCAUAUAUUUAAUAAAUUGGUUUAUGGUUGGUAUUUGUAGAGUAGUUUACUGAAAUAAUUUAUUUUCCCUCUGCAGGUCACCCCUGGUACUCAACCAGGUCAGAAAGUAGUCCUCAGGAGUAAAGGUAAGUCGUCUGUUUCAGAUAAUAUUUUUCUGUACAGUCAUGUCAUGUUCUUAGCUAUAGAUUUCUAUUUCAUGUGGUUUUUACAAAGUUGGUAUUUAAAUAAACUAUAUUUUCUUGCUUGAAAGAAAGAAAUUAUACAUCUAUCUUUAUGUCUUUAACUAGAGAGAUCCGUUGUGAAAAGACCGGUGGAAGUCAGGGACAUGAACAUGAUUAGAGUUUGGAAGUUCAGUGCCUUCUCAGUUUCUGAAGAUAGAUUUUGGGUUAUGACAAUUUUUUCUGUGGUGCAACGCUUUGAGCGAAUGAACUAAAGUAGAAUGCUAAUGAAUUGGAAGAUUGUUCUUGGUUUCCUAGAAUUUCCUUCAUUAAGAUUUUGUUUGGAACAAAUAAAAAUUUUUUGUGAAAUUCAUUUGAAAAUUUACAUACAGUUUACCUAGAAGAUAACAAAAAUCUUGGAACAAAUGAAUUACUUCAAUUGGAAUUUAUUUAGAAAUGUAUUAUUAUGCUUAAUUAUGAGAUAACAAAAAUUCUUUUUCAAAAUAAAAUGAGGUAAUAAAAAUUCUACUCCAGAAAAUUCAAGUUGAGUUAAACUAAUAUAUUCUAAAUUUCUAUAAAUUUUGAUGAAAUUUGAAGUGCGUUGUCCCGGUCCAUCUUGAAUUUUAUUUGGAGUUGAAUUUAAUCUUCCUAUAGUUAAAUUUUCAUUAUUUCAUAGUGGAAGGAAGUACAUAUUUACAUAUAAAUGCUACAAAAAUAGCUCAUUUAUUCCAAACACAUUCUCAAUUGAUUCUUAAGACAUUGUAAUGUCUCUCUGCUUGUACUCUGUCAGGUUCCUUUAUUUUGGCAAAUGGGUAUGUUAGUCUUUGGUAGCGAUAGCAAUGAACACGCGACAACAUGCCUUCUUAUUGAUUUAACUUCAAAGCAUAUCUUUAUAUCGUCUUAUAGUAGGGCAUGCUUUGCAAAGUAGGAUUUGGGUGCACCAGUCACAUUGAGCCCUAUCUCAGCUAUAAUAAUGUGAAUGAUAUACUAUAGAUCUUCUUGGUUGUUUCUCUCUUAUGCAUCUUUUAUGCUUGAAUUUGAAUAACUAGUGAACAUAACACUUUUUACUAUAUGGACAUUGACGUGUACCGAGAAUAUCUUCCUGUGAACUGACACACAAUUUCAUUUUCUAUUUUCACCAACUAAUGCAACUACGGGAAAAUGGUAGGCAACUAAAUAGGCUUAAUUAUGGUUGUUUUGAUAGGGAUUAGAGCAAGGAAUGGCAUGUCAUUCGGGGAUCAAUAUGUGCACUUCAGUGUCGGCAUCCCUACGUACGUUUUCUCUUCUGAAAUCUUGCUGAAUGCACAGCCCAUCUCUGCAUCCAUUGGGAAAUCUUUACAAUAUUGUCUGUUGUUUCUCCUUGUUUUUUUUUUUUUUUUAAAUCUGUUUCAGGAAUCUGACACAGAGACAGCGAGAAUUGAUUGAAGAGUUCGCAAAAGAAGAGCAAGAAGAAACUGAUAAGCAUGCAGCUGCCGGAUUAUCUAAAUAAACACCAAAGAAACCAAAAUGGUUUAGAAGAUGGAUUAGGAAAAAAGAAGGAACAGAGAAGAGAAGCAGUUAGCUUCUGUAAUGAGCAUCUGCUUUGGAAAUUUGGGGUGCAAAAAUUGUUUUGGAACUUAAAAACUGUAUUGGGUCUGGCGUAACAUAUAUCGUAGCAUUGCCAAUCGACUCGCUUUCUAAUAAAUUUCUCUCGUUCUAUUGUAAAUUAACAUUUAUAUUAUUAUCUGGGAGAAGAUAAAAUUGUUAUAUAAUUUGAUAAAAUUAAGUUCAUUUAAGAUUUUUUUAGUUUGAAUUUGAAUAAUAUUUAUUUAUUUUUAUUUCAUAUAAAAUUUCCUACUUUCGGAAUAUAAGAGCAGGAGGGGAGGAAAAUGGACUGCAAUCUGAAAUGCCGUUAUUUAGGUAACAACAAUAACACUUAAUUUCUUCGUAAAGUUAAUUUUUAGAAGUUAAUUUUUAUUCAUCGUUUCGUUUUAAAAUUUUUAUAUUAAAAAAUUUUGGUUUCACAAAGGCAAAUUUUAUGAAAUUUAAUUUAAAAACAAUAAUUAGCUAACAAAAAUAUUUAUUUAUUUUUACUUAAAUAAAAAGAACAUAUGAUUUGGUAAUAUCAUAUUUUCGUUUUCUUUUACCUUAUAUAUUAUUCCCAACGCUCGUUCCUGCAUCCUGUUUCUAUUUUUUAAAAAAUACGACCGUUACAUCUUGUGCCCAACCCCAACGGCUAGUUUUCUACUUCUAAACGUUUCUGCUCCAGGGUAUCAUAGGUGGAGAAACCUAGAGAUCAAGUCCAACAACAAAAAAGACGGAUUCAAUUCGAUUAGGAAUUCUCAGAUCAAUUUUAUCAAUGGCCGAGGUAGCACGCGAGAAUCCGUGUUCCCCAACUCCACCGGCUCCGCCCCCUCCUACUCGGCGGCCAAGGGUGAGAGAAGUGAGUUCUAGGUUUAUGUCUCCCGUCUCGUCUUCUUCAUCUUCUUCUUCCUCCGCCGGUGAUCUUCAUCUGUUGGGCUCGAAGUCUCCUUUCCACAAACAGCAACAACAACAGCAGCAACUACACCGCUCAAUUUCUGUCCAGAGGCAAAGACGGAGUUUAGAAAUGGAAUCGGACGAGAACAGGCUCAAUGAAACGGCUCGGAGCUUGGAUUCCCCCUUCCAAUUAGCCACCCAGAAGAAAAAUCAGCAGCGUGCCGGCGGUAAGACUCUCAAGGAUAAUACCGCCGGCAGAGCCUUGAGACCUGAUACGCCUAUGCUCAACAGUGUCGAUCGAAUGCCAUUCUCAAGACUAAGAACCAACCACCGUGUCACUGCUACCCCCACCGCCGCUGCAAAAUUACUGCAAUCCAGUGGGAUGUCAGCGUCGUCUGCUGCAAUUCAAGACGGGAAUCAAAGAAAUAGUGGUAGUGAUCUCAGCGCGGAUAUGUUGCCAAUUGUUUCCAGUUCCAACUCGUUGAAAUUCUCGGCUUCUCCUUUCUCUCGUUCUCUCAAUUCUCCAUUUUCUACUUGUGAACCUUCGCUCUUUCAUCCCGUAAAACCUCUCAAGACUGAUCUGCCUCCAGUUCCCCCUCCUGCAAAGUUGACCACAGAUACAAGGAAGGCGAAGAAAAUUUCUUCCCAUCAAGAAGAUGUGCAUUCUCUAAAAUUGCUCUACAAUCAUUACCUGCUGUGGAGAUACGCCAAUGCAAAGGCGGAGACUGCUAUGUGCGCUCAAAAGCGUGAUGCCCAGGUUAGUCAAUGGCUAUAUUAUGAACCAAAAGUUGAAGUAAAGGGUCUUCAGUUUUUAGUUGUUACUUUUUAUUUGGGUACUGAGGAUAAUGAUCCAAUUGGUAAGGUGGUAUUGUUUUGUCUUGAAUCCAUUUUAGUGAGGUUCUGUAUAUUGUUUUAUGUUAUUAGGCUGAGGAGAAAGAAAGUUGGAUUGUAAUUUGUAAAGUAUGUUUAUUAGGUUUAAGUAUUAGUAGAACAGGAAUUAAACUAAAUGUGACCUUAACAAUUAUGGCUUGUGGCAAAAGGUUGGUCAUAAUAGUCGAUAAUUCGGUGAGCAUAAGGGUACUAAGAUUUAGCAUGCUGGAGCAUCAAAUCUCUGCAUCAGAAUGGAUCGAUAAGAAAUGUUAAGAGUUUGCUUGAUACUAGUAAUAAUUUUGGAGAUAUGAAAUUUAUAAUUGAAAAAUAGAGUGAAAAGAUUUUGUGAAUUGUAAGCAGUUAAGUAUAUGAUGGUUUUAUAGUUAUAUUUGUUAAAUUUAUUUAUUGGGGAUUGAUAUGUUUUAAGAUAUAGAGACUGUGUAGAAAGUAAUUGUGCUCUUCAUUUCUUGACAAAUACGAAGAAGGCAUUUAUUUGUAUAUCUAGGUUUGUUAGUAAGAAUCUAGAGUCUUCCCUCUAGGUUUUUCCCUUUUCCACACCUUCCCACUAUCUUCUAGAUUAUUCCUCCAUCUUUUACACUUGUGCUACAUCUUCUGUCAUUUUUCUUUUAUUAUCUACGAGAAUUUCCUUUUAUCUUAUAGGAUCUUCUAUCAUUUUCUAGAUUUUUCUAGAAAAUUCUAAGUUUUUAAUAUUCUUAUAGAAUAUUUUAGUAUAACUCAAAGGGUCUUGUUAAUUCAGUAGUUAAUGGGCCUUUUUGCAACUCCAAGCAUCUUCCACAAUACUUGAACCUUUCUCACGAUAAUGCUCUUGGAAGAUAUCCAUUACUUGUUCUUUAGUCUACCAAUACUUGAGUUUGAUGUUUUUCUUUGUAAUUACUUCUCGUAUGAAGUAAUAUUCUAUCGCCAUAUACUUUGUUUGGUUGUGGAAAUGCCUUUAUGAUUGCAACAAUUGACUUGUUGUCACAAUAUAUUUUAUCGGCUCUUCUUGAUAUUCGCACAUAUUUUCAAAUAUUUUACUUAGCAACAUUACUCGGCUUGUUGCACGAAUUUAGCUUCUGGAGAGGAUUGUGGUACUAAGUCUUUGGAAGUUGGUUUCAAGAGGGUCUACAAGACCAAUUUAAUCAUCUACAUAAGCUAAAUAAAAGAACAAUUAGAAAGAAAUUCUUAAAUACCUUAUCUCUGUCAGUGACAAUAGGACUCAGCAUUCUAUAGAGCUUGUAAACUUGAUCUAAGAAGACUAGGACGAUGGUUUGAGUAGUAAAAGGGUGUGACAGGGCUAAAAAGUGGUCAUCCUUGGUGAACCGGUCUACCAUGACCAGGAUGGUGUCCUUGUCUUUUGACUUGAGAAAGUGCUCUAUAGAAUCCAUUUUUACAUCAGGCCAAACCUGCCUCGUAACCCUGAGUAAGCUUUACACUGUUUGCAUACCUAACAUUUUGUAUCCGUUCUUCUACCUGCUACUUCAUUUGACUUGAGAAAGUGGUCAUCCUUGGUGAACCGGUCUACCAUGACCAGGAUGGUGUCCUUGUCUUUUGACUUGAGAAAGUGCUCUAUAGAAUCCAUUUUUACAUCAGGCCAAACCUGCCUCGUAACCCUGAGUAAGCUUUACACUGUUUCCAUACCUAACAUUUUGUAUCCGUUCUUCUACCUGCUACUUCAUUUUAGGCCAGUAGAAUCCUUGCUUUAACUUGCUAUAGGUGUCCCUUACUCCCGAAUGCCCUCCUAAGGGUGACUUAAGAUGGUGUUUUGGCAGCUUUUCCCCUUACUUGUGUUUUCUCCCCUACAAACAGGCGAUCUUUAUGCCUCAGUACUCCUUGCUAGCAUGCACAUGAGCAUUGGGAAGAGAAACCAACAUUAGUUAUGAAGGAGGUUUUAGGCCAUUUUUUCCCCUGGUAUGAUUGGUGAAUCUCCUGCAUUCAAAUGGAAACAACUGCUGAGGCUACCAUGUAUAAUUCUCCUCCUUUCAUACACCUCUCUUUUGGACAAGAUAUCUGCUCUCUGUUUUCAAUCCCUUUUUUUGUGCACAAUCUUGUAGUUGAGUCAAUUUCACCAUCUCCUUGACUUGCACAAGGGUCUGGACUCAUUGCUCUAAGAGGUGUUUAAUGCUUUGUUGGUCAGCCUUAGUGAUGAAUACAACCCUUCAAGAUAAUGUCUCCGCUUGGUGACUGCCACGAGGAUUGCAAGAAACUCUUUCUCAUAUGCGGAUAGGCUUGAUCCUUGGAGCUCAAGGAUUUAUUCAAGAAUGUUAUUGAUCUCCCCACUUGUGAUAGAAUUGUCUCUAUCCCUAUGUUGCAAACGUCUACCUCCACCAUAAAGGUCUGUAAAAUUGGGCAGGGCGAGGACAGGGGUGCUGGUCAUUGUUAUUUUGAGUUCUUAGAAGUCCUCCUCGACUUAUUCAUUCCAUUGGAAGGCAUCACUCUUGAGUAAUUCUGUCAAGGGUUGGCUGAUGGUUCCAUACUUCUUCACAAAUUUCUUGUAAUAUCUGGUCAAGGCCGAAAUCCCCUCAAUCCCUUAACUAUGGUUGCUCUCAGCCAGGUGACCAUAGUUUCACUUUUCGAAGGGUUUGUCUUUACACCUUCUCCUGUGAUGACAUGCCCUAAGUAUUCAACUUGUUUUCUCCGAAAGCAGCACUUGGAUUUGUGUGCAAAUAGCUUAUGUUAUUUCAGCAUCUGAAAUACUUUUUCUAGGUGUUCCUGGUGUUGUUCUAUUGUCCUACUAUAAAUCAAAAUGACAUCAAAGAAUACUAAUACAAACCUUCUUAUGUAAGGUUGGAAAAUUUGAUUCAUCAAGGACUGAGAUGUGGUUGGUGCAUUUAGUCAAGUCAAAUGGCCUUGAAAUAGUCAUUGUGUGCAUGGAAGGCUGUCUUGCUGUCUUGCGCACGUCUUUGGAGCUCAUCCUGAUCUGUUUAUAAUCUGAUGACAAGUCUAUCUUUAAAAAAGAUCGUGGCUUUAUGUAAUUCGUCCGGAAGGUGUCAUCAUCAAUCACAGGCAUGAGAAACUUAUUUUUUACUGUAAUUGAGUUUAACUGUGUGUAGUCAAUGCAUAACACCCAAGAGCCAUCUUUCUUUUUAACUAAGAGCAGUGGAGAGGCAAAUGGGCUGUGGCUGGGUUGAAUGAUGGACCUGUCCAGCAUCUUGGCGACGACUUCUUAAUUUUUGUCUUUUAAAGAUAAGGGUGCCUAUAAGGUCAUGGGUGGUGCCUCUGCCAUUAGAGGAAUGGAAUGGUCUUGCUCUCUUCUUGGUGGUAAGGAAUUGGGUUCCUCAAAAAUUCCUUGAUAUUUGCCGAUUAUAAGUAACAAAUAACUCCUCGUUAUCAUUAACCACCUCCUAAACCUUUCCUGGCAUUAGAGGAAUGGAGUGGUCUUGCUCUCUUCUUGGUGGUAAGGAAUUGGGGUUCCUCAAAAAUUCCUUGGUAUUUGCUGAUUAUAGGUAACAAUAAUUCCUCAUUAUCAUUAACCCCCUCCUGAGCCUUUCUUGGUUGGGUUUUGUAUUGAAUGGAGUACAUUAGUUGGGUUCCUAAAAAAUUUCUCGGUAUUUGCCGAUUAUAGGUAACAAAACUCCUCGUUAUCAUUAACUCCCUCCUGAGCCUUUCCUGGUUGGGUUUUGUAUUGAAUGGAGUAUGUGUCUUCCCCUCCUUGUUGUGCCUUUAGGAGCCAUCUUCCCCGUCCUUUACCUAGUGCCCUUUACCUAGUGCCCUUUACCUAGUGCCUGCGUCAGUAAUCCUUCACCUUUUACUCCUUGAAUGAUCACUGGUUUUCCAUCCUUUGUUAAGAUAAUUUGCAUCUUUUUAAAGUUGAAGGACCCUGGGUUGUGUGUCUCUUCAUUCAGUAUGUUUCCCAAGAUCAUGCCAUAUAACCCCAGCUCCAUCAUCCUAAAGGUCCUCUUGAACUGUAUUUUCUGCAUUCUUCAGUGCAAAACAGAGGUCUGGUGUUGGCUGGUUAAGGCUUCCCUGUCGGCCACCAAUACCUUGAGUGCUGGGAAAGGUAUGUGUACUGCUGCUGUUCACAAGAAUAAGGGCAAGUCUGGUGUCUAUAGUUUCCCAGAUCUUGGUUGUACUACCCUUUCCAUUCAUUCUGAAAAUUUGCAAUUAAUUUUUUUUGUUACAGCAAUUUCAUUCUUUCACAUGACUGAUAAAAUGAAAAUGCCAAGGAGAACAUUCACACAGUGGCACAGCAGCAGUACAAAAACUAAUUUGGCUUAGAUAUCUGAGUGAUUUGAUGAGAUUAUGCUGUUGCUUUUGUUAAUUGUUACUACUUCCUCUCUGCUUUCCUGUCUCUCUUUCUUAUUUCAUACUAUUCUGGAUCUUGUCUUCUAUUUUUAUCAUUGUCUAAUUUCCCUGCAGAGAGCACUUUACUCGCUUGGACUGAAGAUGUCAGAUUUACAUGCUUCUGUUCAGAGGAAACGAAUUGAACUUAGAUCUUUACAGAGAACAAUCACUUUAUCAACAAUACUUAAAGCUCAAGUAAGGCUAUCUUAUCUGCACGCCUGAAAUUUAAACCUUUAAAUUCUAUAAGUUCUCUAUUUGUACAAUGUGCCAUUUGAAUAUUUUUGGUUGCAUUGGCCAUAUGGGUUUUCUUUCAUUGUUAGUUGUAAGAUAAAGUUAUGCGAACACGUAUAGAUGCACUCGCUGGUUGUGUGAAUUGAUCUAACUUCCCUCUCUUGGCAUAUCACAAACUUAAUUGAAGAUCUUAUUUUGCAAUAUAACAUUUUUAAAAAAAAACUUAUAUAAGGCUUGCAUCGUUGAGUAUAGAUGUGGUCUCUGGAAGACUGGUCCACGCUUGAAGGGGAUUAUUCACAUUCUUUAUCAGAAACAAUUCAAGCUUUGUCGAAUGUCUCAACUCGGCUCCCAUUCAGUUCAAAUAUCAAGGUAUUCUAUUUGUAAUAUUGUUCUGAGCAUGAUGCUAGCCACCCUUGAGAUGCUCCAAUAAGGGAUGAUGCUUCUUUGCAGGUUGAUAUAGGAGAUGUAGGGGAGGCACUAAAUUCAGCAGUGAAGGUGAUGGAAACAAUUCUUUUACACAUUCAAAACUUUGUGCCAAAGGUAUGUCUUUUCUGAAACAAACCAUUUUUCAUGAGAAAGGAAAACAGACUUGCCAUAGACAUGUCUACCAAAGUUGAGCUUGAGCCUCCCACAAUUUGGAAACUUGUCAUUGAUCAGUAGCCAAACAGCCAAUCACUCGUUGACUUCAUAAGAAAAUUGCUUGUUAAAUGCAGGCUGAAGAGUUAGAAAAAUUGAUUUCGGAACUUGCAAGGGUGAUUGGGGGACAAAGAGUUGAGAUCCAAGAAUGUGGAGAUCUAUUAUCUCAGACGUAUGCUUUACAGGUUUGUCCUCAGAAUUUGUGAAAAUCUUUUGCAAUGUUCAUAUUACAAGUAUUCAGCUCAGUUGAAAUAAUCUUCUAUGGCCUUUGCCUGUCAUCACUCUGGUUGCUGUUUGGUCAGGUGGAAGAAUGCAGCUUAAGGAGCCAGCUUAUUCAAUUUCAUCGGAGCUGUCCAGACAUUAAGCAAUAAUUAAUUGCUAUACUACAUUCUUGAUUGAUAUAAAAUUUCAUCUUCAAAAUAUUUCAUGUGCAAAAUAGUUCAUUUCUUUUUUUCUUUUUGUUUCAUUGGCCAUGAAAAUGAUUUGAUUUAUUUGGAUUAAGUUUGGAACAAGUGAUAUUUUUUUUUGUAAAAUUCAUUUAGUUGAUGAAAUCUAAAGUAAAUACCACAAAAUACAUCCAUUUAUUCCAAAUAUAACUUACCUAUAAGAUUUCUCUCCAUCUGAGAGAAUCUGUAGUUCAUAAAUACAAAUUNNNNNNNNNNNNNNNNNNNNNNNNNNNNNNNNNNNNNNNNNNNNNNNNNNNNNNNNNNNNNNNNNNNNNNNNNNNNNNNNNNNNNNNNNNNNNNNNNNNNNNNNNNNNNNNNNNNNNNNNNNNNNNNNNNNNNNNNNNNNNNNNNNNNNNNNNNNNNNNNNNNNNNNNNNNNNNNNNNNNNNNUGUGUCAAGUCCCAAGGUAAAAGUUACCAGGAGCUGGGUCACUGGCAGAUUUCCAGGAAAUGAAUGCACGGUUCACCACCAUUUCUGGGCUGGCCCUAACUUUCAUACCUGGCAAAUAAGUGUCUGUUGCAUCGUUAAAGCUCUGCCCAAUGAGCCUUGUUGACAUCAUCAAGACUAGCUGUGCUUGACAAAACCAAAUUCCCAGUCCCCAUGAGCUUGGCUACUAUGUUGUUUGUGUAACAGCUCCGGAAAUCUCCAAAAGGAAAUAUAUAAUAAUUUAAGUGAAGAUGCGAAAUAAAAGGUUAAAAUUUACAUUUCUUAAACAAUAAGUUAAAAGAACUGAAUAACAUUACGAAAUUUAUUCUUUAAAAGAAACACGAGAAAUAAGGAUAACAAAUGAAAAAUAAAAAAUAUCUAUCAUCUACUCGCAAUCUUCUUACAGAUCGGGCUCUAGAACCUAAUUAUCUUGAUCUGAAAUGAUUAAAUAAAGGAUGAGUUAUACUAAUGCAGUAAGGAUAUCACAUUAUAUCAUCAUCACAGAAACAAAUGUUGAUAUAAAAUCGAAAACCACUAAUGGAGUAUAAAAUUUAAACCAAUACAUUUAUUAAAAAUAAAAUCAUUUACCGUUCAUGUACCAUAGUGGAAUUUAUGAAAACAACCUAUAAGAACAAUAAUACCAUACAGAUCAUAACUUCAUGAACAAUCGGUAAUAUAGAACAUAUCAUAAUUCAUAUCCAUUAACAAUAAACUCAAUCAUAAUUGUUUCUAUUUUCACCAGCUUACUAAUAUCCAUGAGAAUUCAAUAGGGAUGUCCCCGCUACACGUGAACCCUUUCUUUUAACAACUUCAAUUACAUGGCCGUUCCCAUACCCCGUCCAGUAUGAGCGCCAAAACAUUAAACUUCAAUACCCCGUCCGAUAUGAGGGUGAAGCGGGCCGUCCCCAUACCCCGUUUGGUAUGAGCACCAAAUUAUCAAGUCUCCAUACCCCAUUCGGUAUGAGACAACGUUUACAGUAGAUUCCUUAUAUACCCGAUCCAUCCACCAUCUCUCAGAUAUUAGUAAGACUGUCGUUCCAUUUGUUUAUUUGAUCAAACAACUUUCCUGUUUUUCUUUAGUCUCCAUUACCAAAUCAAAUAUAAUCAAAUAAAUAAAUAAACAUGCAUCAGGUAAUGCAAUCAUGUCUCAAAUUCUAAGUCAAGCAGUAGUCAGGUAAGACAACAAUACAUGCAUUUAAACCAUAAAAUAGAUAAAUCAAAUACUAUCAUACUUUUAUACUGUAAAAUAAAUCAACAGAAAACAAUUUUCGGUUCGGGAUCCAUUAACAAUCCGUAAUUAAUUAUGCACAUUUAUUUAAUUUUUACAAAAUAUCGUAUUAUUAUUUAUUUGAAUUUCAAUUCUAUGAUAGCGAAUAUGGCGAGGAAAUUCUUAUUUGAUUUGACACCGAAAAGCUAAACGGUUUAUUGCGCAUACGGGCGAUCUCUGAGUUUUCUGAAUUUUUCUCCGGGAAUUGAAACGCGCUUAUAGUACUUACAAAUGUUACAAAUAAAUCUAAAAUCAGUCUCAUGGCCCACUCGGCCAAUUUCAAAAAUCCGGCACGGCGGCUCCGCCGUGCUCCGGCGAUGGCGUCGUUACCUGCGGCGGUGAUUGCCUUGAAUCAACCGUUUUCGUCCGAAUUCGGCCGAUUUUGCAUCAAUUCCUGCGAGCAAAUACGUUAAAGGGACUCAGUUGGCCAAAAAAAUACGAAAAACCGAAACUCACCGGCUGCGGGGCUCUCCGAUGCGGCGGCUCCUCCGGCUUAUGUUGCAGUUGGGUGUUUUGCUUAUGUCAACCUAUAGAGAAAAAAACGGUGAUCACAACGGUAAAAAAAUUACGCGAAACGGGAAUCGGGAAGGGCCUCAUCGGAGACAAUUUGUGAAAUUUCUUGCGGCGGUGCCGUCGGGUUUCGCCGGUGUUAUUCCGGCCAAUUGGCCAGUCUUUUCACUCCGAUUUGACUAUGGGUGAGCUUCAAAUUGAAUUUCAUGCAAAAGGAAAAGUUUUUACCUUUUUUGGCGGUCGAAAAACGUUCCGAUGCGGUGGCAGGUGGCGGUGAUCAGCUUCCCAGCGGCUGGGUCGUCUUCUCCGGCGAGGGGUUCUGGGGGUUAGGGUUAGGGUUUGGAGCGGAUGAGGGUUAUUUAUACCUAUCCAUUUUUUAUAUGGGCCGUCCAUCGGGUUUUAUUUGAACCGUCCGAUCGCGAUUAAAUAGAGAGUGAAUCUAGAACGUUUAUCGAAAUCCAAUAUGGACCGUCCAUCACGAUUCACUCUGGGCCGUCCGAUCACUUUGAAUCUGGCCGUUCGAUUGCGUUUGGGAGGGAGCGCAUCCAGGUCGUCCGUGCGCGUAGAAACGGACCUCAGCCGUUCGAUCGCGCGCACGCAGAUCCCCCGCGUCAGCGCCUCUGCCACUUGGCGUGUCCUGGUUGGUCAGGGCUGCUGACUCAGUGUCUGACGUGGCGAAACUUCUCAAAAUUGCGUUUUAACUCUUGUUUUUCGAUUUUUCUUUCAAAAAUACAUUCAGAAUCUAAAUUUUUACCCAUUUUCUUCAAAAUUAUUUUCAAUUAAAUCUUUUUUAUAUUUUAUUUUAUUUUUUUAUUUUAAAGUUAAUAAAACAAAAUAUAAUAAUACAAAAUAAAAUUAUAAAAAUUUAUAUUUAUUAAUUUUUAAUUCUACCAAAAAUAAAAUUUUUGGGUGUUACAGUUUGAUUAGAACUUGUCACAUUUGUUGACCAAACCAUGUUGUUAUUCCCAUCAGACAGCACGAGGUUACCAUCGUUCCCAAUCGUCGAAACUCCUCUUUGAUCAGAAAUCGGCAACCCAUACAAUUGUUUCUGGUUCAAUAUUGAAAUACUUAAUACCCAGAUAUCGAAGAUUAGAAUUCUGGGGACUAAAGAAUUUAAGCUCAAAUAAUUCAUUAGGAGAUGCCAAAGUCACAGAGCCACCAUCUCUCAUUGAAUCUCCCUUUGUGAUUGUAUCAACUCCAUGGCAAAACUGAGCAAGAAACAAGUGAAGAAACAAACUGAAAGCAAAACCCAACUGGGUUUUCUUCUUAGCCAUUAAACCUUUCACAUAAAAAAAACAAAGACUCAUGUGAAGAUGAUAGAAAAGGGGAAAAAAAAAACAAGAAAAACCCGGGAGAAGAUAAGAAAAAUUGGUAAGAAAAAUCUGCGAGUGGUAUGUUAUUUGAGGAAGAGAAGUAAGACUGGGAAAGUUUUGCAAGUUGAAAUGGGUUAGUUUGCUGGAAUUCUAAACCACCGAAAAGAAUUUGUUUCGAUGGGGAAAAUCCAGCAAAUUGCCUAACGGGGUGUGUCUUUGUUGACUAAUCAAAAUCUGGAAGAGUUUUAAAAGAAGAAAAACAUGGUUUGGUGAGGGAAGGUCAAGAAAAUUCAUCAAACACAUGCAGUUGAAAAAUAGCCAUGGAUUCUUUUAUCUCUAAAAGUUAGCAAAAGAGAGAGUUCUCUGAAACUUAUUGAAGCUAUUCUGGACACUUACAGCCUUCUUACUUUUUACUGUUCAUCCCCCUCUCUCCUUCCUCGCUUUGUUGUAACCGGAGAAUGGUUUUUC